ACGACGGGUAGGUGGUCUGAGAGGAUGGUCCCCACACUGGGACUGAGACACUGCCCAGACUCCUACGGGAGGCUGCAGUCGAGAAUCUUCCGCAAUGGGCGCAAGCCUGACGGAGCGAUGCCGCGUGAGGGAUGAAGGCCUUCGGGUUGUAAACCUCUGUCACCCGGGACGAAGAAGUGACGGUACCGGGAGAGGAAGCCACGGCUAACUACGUGCCAGCAGCCGCGGUAAUACGUAGGUGGCGAGCGUUAUUCGGAUUUACUGGGCGUAAAGGGUCCGUAGGGGGUCUGUCAAGUCUGAUGUGAAAUUCCGGGGCUCAACCCCGGACGUGCAUUGGAUACUGCCGGACUUGAGUGCGCGAGAGGAAAGCGGAAUUCCAGGUGUAGCGGUGGAAUGCGUAGAUAUCUGGAAGAACACCCGCGGCGAAGGCGGCUUUCUGGCGCGUCACUGACCCUGAGGGACGAAAGCGUGGGUAGCGAACAGGAUUAGAUACCCUGGUAGUCCACGCCGUAAACGUUGUGCACUAGAUGUGGGGGGUCCUUUGGUCCCUUCCGUGUCCAAGCUAACGCGAUAAGUGCACCGCCUGGGGACUACGGCCGCAAGGCUAAAACUCAAAGGAAUUGACGGGGGCCCGCACAAGCGGUGGAGCAUGUGGCUUAAUUCGAGGCAACGCGAAGAACCUUACCUGGGUUUGACAUAUACCGGACCGGCCGUGAAAGCGGUUUUCUCUUCGGAGUCGGUAUACAGGUGCUGCAGGCUGUCGUCAGCUCGUGCCGUGAGGUGUUCGGUUAAGUCCGGCAACGAGCGCAACCCGUAUCAUCAGUUACCAGCGCGUCAUGGCGGGGACUCUGGUGAGACUGCCCGUGUCAAGCGGGAGGAAGGCGCGGAUGACGUCAAGUCCGUAUGGCCCUUACAUCCAGGGCUGCACACGUGCUACAAUGGUCGGUACAAUGGGCGGCAAGACCGCGAGGUGGAGCCAAUCCCCAAAACCGGCCCCAGUUCGGAUCGGAGUCUGCAACUCGACUCCGUGAAGUCGGAAUCGCUAGUAAAGGCGUAUCAGCAACGACGCCUUGAAUACGUUCCCGGGCCUUGUACACACCGCCCGUCACAUCAUGGAAGCUGGCUGCACCCAAAGUCGUCGGC
RNAcentral lists this ribosomal RNA (1143 nucleotides) under uncultured organism. RNAcentral's name for it is "bacterial SSU rRNA". It matches the Rfam family "Bacterial small subunit ribosomal RNA", at positions 276 to 1434 of the family's 1533-position model. The record is from RNAcentral.